This 108-nucleotide non-coding RNA is filed under the name Thiorhodovibrio sp. RNAcentral describes it as "SAH sequence". It matches the Rfam family "SAH (S-adenosyl-L-homocysteine) riboswitch aptamer". Lineage: Bacteria; Pseudomonadati; Pseudomonadota; Gammaproteobacteria; Chromatiales; Chromatiaceae. The record is from RNAcentral. RNAcentral also lists the same sequence under 1 other name.
CCUUCCGAGGAGCGCUGCAACCCACCCUGGAUUCUCAAAUGGAUCAUCAAGGGCAAGGGCCAGGCUCGGAAGCUGGAGCCCCAACAAUUACAACGGCGCUCACUCACG